GGCGGUGUAGCUCAGUUGGUAGAGCAAACGACUUCAUAAUCGUUGCGUCGCCGGUUCAAGUCCGGUCACCGCUA
RNAcentral lists this transfer RNA (74 nucleotides) under Rhodococcus sp. CUA-806. RNAcentral describes it as "tRNA-OTHER". It matches the Rfam family "tRNA". From Rfam's summary of the family: Transfer RNA (tRNA) molecules are approximately 80 nucleotides in length. The record is from RNAcentral. Lineage: Bacteria; Bacillati; Actinomycetota; Actinomycetes; Mycobacteriales; Nocardiaceae.